GGGGCAAUAGCUCAGUUGGGAGAGCGCUACGUUCGCAUCGUAGAAGUCGUGGGUUCGAGUCCCAUUUGCUCCACCA
RNAcentral lists this transfer RNA (76 nucleotides) under Deltaproteobacteria bacterium. RNAcentral describes it as "tRNA-Ala". It matches the Rfam family "tRNA". Rfam says of the family: Transfer RNA (tRNA) molecules are approximately 80 nucleotides in length. Their secondary structure includes four short double-helical elements and three loops (D, anti-codon, and T loops). The record is from RNAcentral. Lineage: Bacteria; Pseudomonadati; Myxococcota; Myxococcia. RNAcentral also lists the same sequence under 1 other name.